GAUUGUAACAGCUUGUGGACGAGGGAAUCUGGUGAGACGUUUAAUCCUGGUUGAAAAUACUAACCGGGACUAAAGACCCUCCCAUAGUCCCGGUUGGGGGGCCUUUAGUCCCCCCUCUCUCCACCUUAUUUGAAUCGAAGAGGGUUAGUACUUAGUAGUCACUGCCUCACGGACACCGAGUCACCGCCUCACUGACACCAAGUCGCCCAUAUGGCAUGCAUUAUGGUUUCCAAAUGACACAAGCCACUCAAAAUGGCACAUGAUCACGAGACUGGGGCAUUACAUUUUUCUCAAAAAUGAAAUUUUAUUGAUUUUCAAGAACAUUACAACUACAUCGACUCAAAAAAAACACUCAUAUCCGUACAGGACCAAAUUAAAUAAGCUUUGUAAAAAAACACAUACAAGCCAAUUACAAAUAUAAAUCCGUAGACUUAACCAUAUACUCACGUGUUAGUUGGUAAAGAACUCCUUUUGACCACGUGCGAUAACCUUUACUAUGUUAUCAGACGUGUGAUCCGAUGCAGGACGAAGCAGCAGGGAUCAGUGAUGCUGAGGGUCCGGCCCUCCGGGGCUCAGCCUCUUGGACGCGGCUACGCUGCCGUCUCCCCCAGCGGCAGCAGCCUCGUCGCCUGGCACCUGCAGUGCCGGCAUUUCCACUUGAACCUGCAGAGGGCCCGUCGCCGCCAAUGAUGCCGCCACGGCCACGGCCGUCUCUCGCCCGGUCCCCAGCAGCUGCCGCGCCGCGCCGGCGCCCGGUGAGCACAGGGACACGACGGCCGCCGCCAGCAGCAAUGCGCUCGUGACAACAACGCUGAAUUGCUUCGCCAUUUGGAUCAGUGCAGGGAGCUGGCAAGGUUGAGCUCAAUAAAACUUGCUUGGUUUUAUUGCGUGAGGUUAUGCUUGUGUACGAGUGUGCGUGGUACGGAC
This 927-nucleotide long non-coding RNA is filed under the name Setaria italica (foxtail millet). Its description in RNAcentral is "long non-coding RNA (SITA_LNC003914)". Lineage: Eukaryota; Viridiplantae; Streptophyta; Magnoliopsida; Poales; Poaceae. The record is from RNAcentral.